CUGCUGAGGACAUAUAAAGUGAAUAUGAGAGUCUAUACCCCCUGCCGUCACAAUCAUACCCUCUCCUGCAAGCGCCUCUGUUGAUGCUCCCACUGUCAUUCCCGGAGUAACAUUUUCCAUAAUAUCAGGAUUUCCUGCAUGACCUAUUGCUGAUAUUUUGCCAUUUUUAAUGCCUAUAUCUGCCUUGUAUAUACCUGUGUAAUCUACAAUUAAGGCAUUUGUAAUAACAAGGUCAAGGUCGCCGUCAGCUGAUGUGGAAUUUACACUUUGUCCCAUACCGUCCCU
Molecule: small RNA, 285 nt
Filed under: human gut metagenome
Description: 5' ureB small RNA
Rfam family: 5' ureB small RNA
Source: RNAcentral